UCGGGAAUUUUGGGCAAUGGGCGAAAGCCUGACCCAGCAACGCCGCGUGAAGGAUGAAGUAUUUCGGUAUGUAAACUUCGAAAGAAUAGGAAGAAUAAAUGACGGUACUAUUUAUAAGGUCCGGCUAACUACGUGCCAGCAGCCGCGGUAAUACGUAGGGACCAAGCGUUGUUCGGAAUUAUUGGGCGUAAAGGGCGCGUAGGCGGCCUGGUAAGUCAGACGUGAAAUCCCUCGGCUCAACCGAGGAACUGCGUUUGAAACUGCCGGGCUUGAGUCCCGGAGAGGGUAGUGGAAUUCCCAGUGUAGCGGUGAAAUGCGUAGAUAUUGGGAGGAACACCAGUGGCGAAGGCGACUACCUGGACGGGUACUGACGCUGAGGCGCGAAAGCAUGGGUAGCAAACAGGAUUAGAUACCCCUGUAGUCCCUGAGCGGGCUGGCAAGGCGCAU
Molecule: ribosomal RNA, 447 nt
Filed under: uncultured bacterium
Lineage: Bacteria
Description: bacterial SSU rRNA
Rfam family: Bacterial small subunit ribosomal RNA
Source: RNAcentral